CUUUCUGUAGUAUAUCAGUACGUCUAGUUUCGACCUAGAGGGGCCAGUUUGGCAGAAAGG
Molecule: transfer RNA, 60 nt
Filed under: Sphaeroma terebrans
Lineage: Eukaryota; Metazoa; Arthropoda; Malacostraca; Isopoda; Sphaeromatidae
Description: tRNA-Arg
Source: RNAcentral